ACCUACGCGUUAGUGGGUGAAGCGGCAUCCUUUUAUUUUGUUGCUUAUCUAUUUUAGCUUCCUCAAGACAAAACGCUACAACAAAAUAAAAGAUAUAGCGAAACACACGACCUCGU
RNAcentral lists this small RNA (116 nucleotides) under Flavobacterium terrigena. Its description in RNAcentral is "Flavo-1 RNA". It matches the Rfam family "Flavo-1 RNA". The record is from RNAcentral. Lineage: Bacteria; Pseudomonadati; Bacteroidota; Flavobacteriia; Flavobacteriales; Flavobacteriaceae.